GUGACUGAGUGGCGGACGGGUGAGUAACGCGUGGGUAACCUGCCUCAUACAGGGGGAUAACAGUUAGAAAUGACUGCUAAUACCGCAUAAGACCACAGCACCGCAUGGUGCAGGGGUAAAAACUCCGGUGGUAUGAGAUGGACCCGCGUCUGAUUAGGUAGUUGGUGGGGUAACGGCCUACCAAGCCGACGAUCAGUAGCCGACCUGAGAGGGUGACCGGCCACAUUGGGACUGAGACACGGCCCAAACUCCUACGGGAGGCAGCAGUGGGGAAUAUUGCACAAUGGGGGAAACCCUGAUGCAGCGACGCCGCGUGAGCGAUGAAGUAUUUCGGUAUGUAAAGCUCUAUCAGCAGGGAAGAAAAUGACGGUACCUGACUAAGAAGCACCGGCUAAAUACGUGCCAGCAGCCGCGGUAAUACGUAUGGUGCAAGCGUUAUCCGGAUUUACUGGGUGUAAAGGGAGCGUAGACGGAGUGGCAAGUCUGAUGUGAAACCCGGGGCUCAACCCCGGGACUGCAUUGGAAACUGUCAAUCUGGAGUACCGGAGAGGUAAGCGGAAUUCCUAGUGUAGCGGUGAAAUGCGUAGAUAUUAGGAGGAGCACCAGUGGCGAAGGCGGCUUACUG
RNAcentral lists this ribosomal RNA (625 nucleotides) under uncultured Lachnospiraceae bacterium. Its description in RNAcentral is "bacterial SSU rRNA". It matches the Rfam family "Bacterial small subunit ribosomal RNA", at positions 87 to 731 of the family's 1533-position model. Lineage: Bacteria; Bacillati; Bacillota; Clostridia; Lachnospirales; Lachnospiraceae. The record is from RNAcentral.